Molecule: ribosomal RNA, 253 nt
Filed under: uncultured bacterium
Lineage: Bacteria
Description: partial 16S ribosomal RNA
Rfam family: Bacterial small subunit ribosomal RNA
Source: RNAcentral
UACAGAGGGUGCGAGCGUUAAUCGGAAUUACUGGGCGUAAAGGGUGCGUAGGCGGCGGGGCAAGUCUGAUGUGAAAUCCCGGGGCUCAACCCCGGAACUGCAUUGGAUACUGCCUUGCUCGAGUACUGGAGAGGGAACUGGAAUUUACGGUGUAGCAGUGAAAUGCGUAGAGAUCGUAAGGAAGGCCAGUGGCGAAGGCGAGUUCCUGGACAGUUACUGACGCUGAGGCACGAAGGCCAGGGGAGCAAACGGG